This 866-nucleotide ribosomal RNA is filed under the name uncultured bacterium. RNAcentral's name for it is "bacterial SSU rRNA". It matches the Rfam family "Bacterial small subunit ribosomal RNA", at positions 28 to 897 of the family's 1533-position model. The record is from RNAcentral.
GAUGAACGCUGGCGGCGUGCUUAACACAUGCAAGUCGAACGAACUGCUUUAAAGGAAGUCUUCGGGUGGAAUUUAAAGUAGUUAGUGGCGGACGGGUGAGUAACGCGUGGGAAACCUGCCCUAUACAGGGGGAUAGCCUCGGGAAACCGGGAUUAAUACCCUAUAAAACUCUAGUAUCGCAUGAUACAUGAGUCAAAGAUUUAUCGGUAUAGGAUGGUCCCGCGUCUGAUUAGCUAGUUGGUGAGGUAACGGCUCACCAAGGCGACGAUCAGUAGCCGGCCUGAGAGGGUGAACGGCCACACUGGAACUGAGACACGGUCCAGACUCCUACGGGAGGCAGCAGUGGGGAAUAUUGCACAAUGGGGGAAACCCUGAUGCAGCGACGCCGCGUGAGCGAAGAAGGCCUUCGGGUCGUAAAGCUCUGUCCUAAGGGAAGAAGAGGACGGUACCUUAGGAGGAAGCCCCGGCUAACUACGUGCCAGCAGCCGCGGUAAUACGUAGGGGGCGAGCGUUAUCCGGAAUUACUGGGCGUAAAGGGUGCGUAGGCGGCCUUUUAAGUCAGAUGUGAAAGGCUACGGCUUAACCGUAGUUAGCAUUUGAAACUAAGAGGCUUGAGUGCAGGAGAGGAGAGUGGAAUUCCUAGUGUAGCGGUGAAAUGCGUAGAUAUUAGGAGGAACACCAGUGGCGAAGGCGACUCUCUGGACUGCAACUGACGCUGAGGCACGAAAGCGUGGGUAGCGAACAGGAUUAGAUACCCUGGUAGUCCACGCCGUAAACGAUGAGUGCUAGGUGUUGGUGGGGACACCCAUCAGUGCCGCAGCUAACGCAUUAAGCACUCCGCCUGGGGAGUACGGUCGCAAGACUGA